CGUCAAAGAUUCCUUUGAUUUUGCUUCAUAUUUGAGACGCCCAAUGUUGUCAGUACAUAUAAUUGCUUUGGGAUUUAGAUAAAGGUUUAGAGAUUAUUGUGUAUAGAGGGGAGUAAUAACUACGGUCAUUAGACAUAGUUACUUUGGGUCAACUUUUUGGGGUAAGAUUUGGGUAAAAUUAGCGAUACACGUUUUAUAGAUGUGACAUAGUUCUAGACAUCAAUUGCUUCAGUUUGCUUGGCUUACUGUCAACCAAGGUUAAUUUCUGGUGGCUUGCUAGGUCACGUGUACAUGUAGUUGUUAAUGAGGAAAUAAUUCACGGACACAAUUCCAUCAGUUUGGGGAUCAAAUCAGUCAGUUUAAUUCAUUUAGUUUUCAUUGUAAUUGAUUCAUAUGUGCCCAAGUGUAUUUUGGCAUGAUUCUAGAGACUUACUGUAUUUUCUGGUUUGUAUUACUUGCAGAUUGAACCGUACGUACAUACGUAGUCAUAGUUGGUACUGGUACAAUACAAGGGUGAACAGUAAUUCGUCAUCAAGGGAGUUCUUUUUGUCGUCAUCCGUCACUCAGACCAAGGGACAAACUUUGAGUCGGCUGUCUUUGCUGAGAUGUGUCGGGUUUUGGGCAUAUCCAAAAGUCGAACUAAAGCGCACAACCCAAAGUCCGAUGGACUGGUUGAGCGAUUCAAUAAGACUUUGACCAACAUGGUUGCUGUGAUGAUUGAACCAAAGAGGAAACAACGUGACUGGGAUGAGUGUCUGCCAUAUCGUCGAUCGCACCACGAUCCGGCGUAUCCUCGUUUUUUGGGCAAAGUGACAUUUUGCUACAUUAAUGAAAAUAUGAUUGAAAUGAAUGAUUUAACCCAAUUACAAGCUUGUCAGGUCUUUAAUUAAAGAAUUAUAGAAACUAACAAAAAAGUCAUUUGCGGAAAAAUCAGCCACAUUAUUUUCACGAACCGUCGCAUAAGUUCACAUCUCAAUGCCAAUCUAAGAAAAAGAAAACGAUCGUCUAACAAAGAGACGUAUCCCGAUACGUCUCGUGCAGAAAACAAAACAAGCCACUUUUAUUGUGCGCCCUCUGUCAAAAUACGACGUUUAGCUCACGUUGAACCUCGUACACAGAGUCGAACAAUAAUGGUACGGUACGGCCUAGUAAGCCUAUGCUUAGUUUUGCUUAGUACGAGGGUGAGAAGUUGACUCUGGUUUUACCGUGGUUGACCAGGCCUGGCUUCGCGGCGAAAUGGCUGAAAACAGCACCUUGCCCCCCAAAAAGGCAGCUUUAAACAGCAGAGGUCAUGUGAUGUUUUGAUAGAAUGGACUGACAGAUCAGGAAAUGUUGUAUCAUCCAAGGAUUUGUCAUUCAAUAAACCACUACGUCACAAUCAGCAUGUGCGGAUGAAGUGGGGGAAAACCUGGUGGAGGGGCAAGGUGCUCAAUUUUGAGCAAGGAGGAUGUAACGAAUCAUCUGAGGGAUCAUCUGAGGAAUCAGGGAACUCAGAAGACUCUAAGGAUGACUCCGACAGUGACUUGGAUGAUGUGCCACUGACACAGCUGAAGUCAUUAACUGCAUCCAAACCCAGUUAUUGUCCCAUGACACACCAUUAUUUGUCCUCAAUGCUAUUGAUUAAAUUUCAAAAAUAUGAUAGCGCACCUGUUGUAUGUGUGGUUGGCAAAUUGCCUAACUUCUUGUAAUGUUUUUAUACCCACAAAUUUUCUUGUCACUUGCAGAACCGUUUGAUGGAUCCUGGGGUAUUAAAGCUUCAGAGGAUAACAUGGACGAUGUAUGAUCAGCACAGCUUCAGACAAGUCUGGUUUCUAAUAAAAGUGAGUGACACUGAAAUGGGUUUUGUUUUGAUGUACUUGAAGUUUAUUCCAUGAAUACAUAGCAAGCAAAGGGUAGAUGAAGAUCCCAUAUGUAUUGAGGACAAAAAAUUCAAAACAAAUCGUGUAUAGGGAAACUGACUAGGUGCUGGUAAAUCAACUUGAACACAGGAAAGAUGUGCAAAGAAACUUGAUGAGAGCUGGAAUUUAACCUGCGACCUCUGCUUUACUGUACCGGCACUCUACUACUGAGAUCAGUUAGUAGGGCGCUGGUACAUUUAUUUAGAUGUCACAGGUUUGAGUCCCACUCUAUUCAAUGUUAUUUGCACAUCUUUCAUAUAGACACUUUUUUAGAUUGAUAUUGUUCCAUAUUCUUACAACUAGCAUUUUCCUGACCAUUUGACUUUAGUUAUUGAUGGAGAAAGUCUGUUCAUCACCCCCGUGAUGGAAUCACACUUUUGCAGGGCCAACACAGGUUAUCAGUAUCUAUCUGUCACCAGACUUGAACAUAAGUAAAAUGUACAGGUUGUAUCUAAAUGAGCAUCAUAACAGUAGCAGAAAAGCUUCUCUAGGCUUCUACUCAAAAAUCUUCAAAAAGAUGAAACUAAAGUUUCACACACCAAAAAAAAAAGAUCUGUGCGGUGUAUGUGAGGCAUACAGAAAAGGGUCAGAGGAAGAAAGAAAACGAAUAGGUUUCGAGUAUGAAAAACAUAUCCAAGAAAAAUCCAAAUCUCGAGAACUGAAAGAUGAGAUGAAGAAGAAUGCAAUAGCAAAUCCUAAUACGUUUGUCGCAUCGGUGUUUGAUUUGGAACAGGUUUUGUGUUUGCCUAAAUCAGGCAGAGGGGAGUUGUUUUACAAACGUAGGCUAUCAUGUUACAAUUUCACCAUUUGCUUGGUGAUGUCAUAAUUUCUUGAAGUCCAGUCACAGUUCUGUAAACCAGGUUCAAAAAUUAAAUUGAAUGCAUGUAUUAUUAUGUAGUCAAUGUUACACAUACCGCCUUUUAUUAUCUUGUUGGCCUAAUCACUCAUGAAGAUUUACAUUUUAAUGGGCUUGCAGGGGCAAUAAAAAGCUGUUUAUUAUA
RNAcentral lists this long non-coding RNA (2899 nucleotides) under Acanthaster planci (crown-of-thorns starfish). RNAcentral's name for it is "uncharacterized LOC110990637, transcript variant X2". Lineage: Eukaryota; Metazoa; Echinodermata; Asteroidea; Valvatida; Acanthasteridae. The record is from RNAcentral.